RNAcentral lists this unclassified non-coding RNA (269 nucleotides) under Hevea brasiliensis (rubber tree). Lineage: Eukaryota; Viridiplantae; Streptophyta; Magnoliopsida; Malpighiales; Euphorbiaceae. The record is from RNAcentral.
CCAGCAAUUUGUUGAAACAAAACAUCUCCAGAAGGGAAAUAAACAAACGGCUCUCCAGUUUCUGCAUGAUUCUCAAUCUGUUGUGACAUAGCACCAUUAAGACGGUAAUAAGAUUGCUGGUCAAAGGAUGAACAAUGCGCAAGUAAUGACCCUGCAGCAACUCCAGGCUCAAAGAAUUCCCUGAGAACCAAGCCUGGAUCAUUGACACAAUCAGAAUUCCUCACAGAAGAUGCUUCCAACAGAGUGAUUUCAAUCCCUUGACUGGCAUC